GUGAAUUUUAGGGUGCUCUCUGGUCUUUUAACAAGUCAGAGAGGCCUGACCUCCACUCUCCAACUCUGUGCACUUUUCGGCAUCGUAGUGUUAUUGUCCUAGUGACAAAAACACUUGAUGCGGCUCUUUUUAAACAUGAGUUAAAGAAUGUAAACAAACCAUAACAAAA
Molecule: unclassified non-coding RNA, 169 nt
Filed under: uncultured fungus
Lineage: Eukaryota; Fungi
Description: sequence contains ITS1, 5.8S rRNA gene
Source: RNAcentral